This 518-nucleotide ribosomal RNA is filed under the name Clostridium botulinum. Its description in RNAcentral is "partial 23S ribosomal RNA". It matches the Rfam family "Bacterial large subunit ribosomal RNA", at positions 1632 to 2161 of the family's 2925-position model. Lineage: Bacteria; Bacillati; Bacillota; Clostridia; Eubacteriales; Clostridiaceae. The record is from RNAcentral.
GAAUAGGUGCCCGUACCGCAAACCGACACAGGUAGGUGAGGAGAGAAUCCUAAGGCCAUCGGAAGAAUUGCUGUUAAGGAACUCGGCAAAUUGACCCCGUAACUUCGGGAGAAGGGGUGCCUACGAAAGUAGGCCGCAGAGAAUAGGCCCAAGCAACUGUUUAGCAAAAACACAGGUCUCUGCUAAAGCGAAAGCUGAUGUAUAGGGGCUGACGCCUGCCCGGUGCUGGAAGGUUAAGGGGAACACUUAGCGUAAGCGAAGGUGUGAACUUAAGCCCCAGUAAACGGCGGCCGUAACUAUAACGGUCCUAAGGUAGCGAAAUUCCUUGUCGGGUAAGUUCCGACCCGCACGAAUGGCGUAAUGAUUUGGGCACUGUCUCAACAGCAAAUCCGGCGAAAUUGUAGUGCAAGUGAAGAUGCUUGCUACCCGCGAUUGGACGGAAAGACCCCGUAGAGCUUUACUGUAGCUUAGCAUUGAAUCUCGGUAUUGUCUGUACAGGAUAGGUGGGAGACUUGGAA